UAGCUAGUUGGUAGGGUAAAGGCCUACCAAGGCGACGAUCGGUAGCUGGUCUGAGAGGAUGACCAGCCACACUGGAACUGAGACACGGUCCAGACUCCUACGGGAGGCAGCAGUGGGGAAUAUUGGACAAUGGGGGCAACCCUGAUCCAGCAAUGCCGCGUGUGUGAAGAAGGCCUGAGGGUUGUAAAGCACUUUCAGUGGGGAGGAGGAUUGACAGGUUAAGAGCUAGUUAAUUGGACGUUACCCACAGAAGAAGCACCGGCUAACUCCGUGCCAGCAGCCGCGGUAAUACGGAGGGUGCGAGCGUUAAUCGGAAUUAUUGGGCGUAAAGGGUGCGUAGGUGGUUGAAUAAGUUAUCUGUGAAAUCCCCGGGCUUAACCUGGGCAGGUCAGAUAAGACUGUUUGACUCGAGUAUGGGAGAGGGUAGUGGAAUUUCCGGUGUAGCGGUGAAAUGCGUAGAGAUCGGAAGGAACACCAGUGGCGAAGGCGGCUACCUGGCCGGAUACUGACACUGAAGCACGAAAGCGUGGGGAGCAAACAGGAUUAGAUACCCUGGUAGUCCACGCUGUAAACGAUGUCAACUAGUUGUUGGUGAUAUGAAUAUCAUUAGUGACGC
Molecule: ribosomal RNA, 616 nt
Filed under: uncultured Legionella sp.
Lineage: Bacteria; Pseudomonadati; Pseudomonadota; Gammaproteobacteria; Legionellales; Legionellaceae
Description: bacterial SSU rRNA
Rfam family: Bacterial small subunit ribosomal RNA
Source: RNAcentral